Molecule: ribosomal RNA, 134 nt
Filed under: Usnea cornuta
Lineage: Eukaryota; Fungi; Ascomycota; Lecanoromycetes; Lecanorales; Parmeliaceae
Description: 5.8S ribosomal RNA
Rfam family: 5.8S ribosomal RNA
About the family: 5.8S ribosomal RNA (5.8S rRNA) is a component of the large subunit of the eukaryotic ribosome. It is transcribed by RNA polymerase I as part of the 45S precursor that also contains 18S and 28S rRNA.
Source: RNAcentral
CUUUCAACAACGGAUCUCUUGGUUCCAGCAUCGAUGAAGAACGCAGCGAAAUGCGAUAAGUAAUGUGAAUUGCAGAAUUCAGUGAAUCAUCGAAUCUUUGAACGCACAUUGCGCCCCUCGGUAUUCCGGGGGGC